RNAcentral lists this long non-coding RNA (4781 nucleotides) under Mytilus galloprovincialis (Mediterranean mussel). The record is from RNAcentral. Lineage: Eukaryota; Metazoa; Mollusca; Bivalvia; Mytilida; Mytilidae.
GUCAAUUAAAUCAAAACAUCCGGUUUGAUUAGCCCACAUUGAGCUCCACAUUUUAUAGGCAUGUAUGGUUGUCUAGUUAACUGUUUAGGUUCAAAUAAUUAUUACAAAGUCCCUGACGGGAUAUCUUGUCCAAUUUAAAAGUUUACCGGAAUGUUUUUUCAUUGAAAAUGUUGUUGAAUUUAAAGCACCACCAAAAAUGAACUAAGCACCAGAGGAGGAAGCAUCUGUCUUAAGGUCUAACAUCCAGGGCUGGGGUCCAAUAUCAUUAAAAAAAUUCAUAUCAGCACCAUCAAAAAAAACCUCACCAUUACAGAUGAUAGCUUAAAUUCCACCACAAUGUCCAAUAAACAGGAAGAUGGGUCUACAAAACUCUUUUGGGGUCUAUGUUGAUUUGUAGGGCCCAUUAACCUGCAAACACUUUUAUCCAAUCCUAAGUAUAAAGGUCUACUAUGGUAAAUGUAUAUUUCGUUAAAAAAAAAGUAACAAGCACCACCAAAAAUAAUGUAACUUCGCUCCCGUUAGUCCAACCAAUGGAUAUAGUUGACUGAAACACUCUUUGGAGUUGUAAGUUGGUUAGUUAUGCUCAUUAGUCCACAGGCACAUAUGGUCCAAUCUACACAAGUCCUGGGGUCUUUUGGUGUAUAUAUCAUUUAAAGAAAAAUAUAAGCACCACAGAAAAAAAACUUAGCACCACGGGAGGUAGCUUCCCUCAGAUUGGUCCAACUGACGUGUAUAGGGGUCUAAAGCACUCUAUUGGGGUCUAAGAUGGUUUGUUAAGCUCAUUAGUCCACAGGCACAUAUGGUCCAAUCUACACAAGUCCUGGGGUCUGUUGGUGUAUAUAUCAUUUAAGAAAAAUAUAAGCACCACAGAAAAAAACUUAGCACCACGGGAGGUAGCUUCCCUCUGAUUAGUCCAACUGACGUGUAUAGGGAUUGUCUAAAGCACUCUAUUGGGGUCUAAGAUGUGUUUGUUAAGCCAAUUAGUCCACAGGCACAUAUGGUCCAAAUCUACACAAGUCCUGGGGUCUGUUGGUGUAUAUAUCAUUUAAGAAAAAUAUAAGCACCACAGAACACCAAUUGGUCCAACUGACGUGUAUAGGGGUCUAAAGCACUGUAUUGGGGUCUAAGAUGGUUUUUUAAGCUCAUUAGUUUACAGGAACAUCCUGGGGUCUGUUGGUGUAUAUAUCAUUUAAGAAAAAUAUAAGCACCACAGAAAAAAACUUAGCACCACGGGAGGUAGCUUCCCUCCAAUUGGUCCAACUGACGUGUAUAGGGGUCUAAAGCACUCUAUUGGGGUCUAAGAUUUUGUUAAGCUCAUUAGUCCACAGGCACAUAUGGUCCAAUCUACACAAGUCCUGGGGUCUGUUUGGUGUAUAUAUCAUUUAAGAAAAAUAUAAGCACCACAGAAAAAAACUUAGCACCACGGGAGGUAGCUUCCCUCCAAUUGGUCCAACUGACGUGUAUAGGGGUCUAAAGCACUCUAUUGGGGUCUAAGAUGGUUUGUUAAGCUCAUUAGUCCACAGGCACAUAUGGUCCAAUCUACACAAGUCCUGGGGUCUUUUGGUGUAUAUAUCAUUUAAGAAAAAUAUAAGCACCACAGAAAAAAAACUUAGCACCACGGGAGGUAGCUUCCCUCCAAUUGGUCCAACUGACGUGUAUAUAGGGGUCUAAAGCACUCUAUUGGGGUCUAAGAUGGUUUGUUAAGCUCAUUAGUCCACAGGCACAUAUGGUCCAAUCUACACAAGUCCUGGGGUCUUUUGGUGUAUAUAUCAUUUAAGAAAAAUAUAAGCACCACAGAAAAAAAAACUUAGCACCACGGGAGGUAGCUUCCCUCCAAUUGGUCCAACUGACGUGUAUAGGGGUCUAAAGCACUCUAUUGGGGUCUAAGAUGGUUUGUUAAGCUCAUUAGUCCACAGGCACAUAUGGUCCAAUCUACACAAGUCCUGGGGUCUUUUGGUGUAUAUAUAUAUCAUUUAAGAAAAAAUAUAAGCACCACAGAAAAAAAACUUAGCACCACGGGAGGUAGCUUCCCUCCAAUUGGUCCAACUGACGUGUAUAGGGGUCUAAAGCACUCUAUUGGGGUCUAAGAUGGUUUGUUAAGCUCAUUAGUCCACAGGCACAUAUGGUCCAAUCUACACAAGUCCUGGGGUCUUUUGGUGUAUAUAUAUCAUUUAAGAAAAAAUAUAAGCACCACAGAAAAAAAAACUUAGCACCACGGGAGGUAGUCUUCCCUCCAAUUGGUCCAACUGAACAUGUAUAGGGGUCUAAAGUACUCUAUCGGGGUCUAAGUUGGUUUGUUAAGCUCAUUAGUCUACAGGCUCAUAUGGUCCAAUCUACACAAGUCCUGGGGUCUUUUGGUGUAUACAUGAAUCAUUGGUCCAAAAGCAACUGUGGUCCAAUAUGCAUUAGUCCAGGGUUUCAGGAUAUAUAUUAAACUAAAGAAAAAUAUAAGCACCACCAAAAAGAGACUUAGCACCACAGUAGUUAGCUUCCCUUCCUUUGGUCCAACAGAUGGGUAUAGGGGUCUAAAUACUCUUUGGGGUUCUAAGUUGGUUUGUAAGGCUCAUUGGUCCACAGGCAACUUUGAUCCACUCUUCAAGUCAAGGGUCUUUUAUAUUAUAUUUUAUUUGAUAAAAAUAUAAGCACCACCAAAAACAAACUUUGCAUCUCAAGAGGUAGCUUCCCUCCCAAUGGUCCAAAGGAUGGGUAGUGGGUCUAAAAUAGUCUUUGUUCUUAGGGUUUGUAAGGCCUGUUGGUCUAAAAGCAACUGUGGUCCAAUCUACAUUAGGCUAGGGGUCUCUGGGUAUAUUUCACUGAAGAAAAAUAUAAGCACCACCAAAAAGAAAUGUAGCACCACAGGAGGUUACUUCCCUCCAUUUGGUCCAACAGAUGGGUAUAGGGGUCUAAAUACUCUUAGGGGUACUAAGUUGGUUUGUAAGGCUCAUUGGUCAACAGGCAACUGUGGUCUAAUCUUUAAGUUAAGGGUUCUCAUAGGGUGUAUUUCAUUAAAGAAAAAUAUAAGCACCAAGAAAAACAAACUAAGCACCAUGGGAGGUAGCUUUCCGCUCGUUGGCCCAACAGACAGAUUUAGGGGUCUAACAUAUUCUUUGGGUCUAAGAUGAUUUGAAAAGCUCAUGUGGUUCAAUCUUCUAGUCCAGAGGUCUGUUGUAGUAUAUUUCAUUUAAGAAAUAUAAGCACCAUCAGGCACAAACUAAGCACCAUGGGAGGUAGCUUUCCUCUCAGUGGUCCAUCAGAUAGGUUAAGGGGUCUAACCCACUCUUUUGGGUCUAAGAUGAUUUGAAAAGCACAUGUGGGGCAAUCUUCUAGUCCAGAGGUCUGUUGUGGUAUAUUUCAUUAAAAAAAUAUAAUAAGCACCACCAAAAAUGAACUUAGCAACACGGAUGAUUGCUUCCACUGCCUUGAUCCAAUAAACAGGUAUAGGGAUGUAAAAAACACUUUGAGAGGUCUAUGUUGAUUUAUAUGGCCCACUGUCUGUGUCCAAUCUACGAGUCCAGGAGUUUUAUGAUAUAUUUCAUUAAAGAAAAACUUGAUUUUGUUUUACAGGGCCAUUUGGUCUACAUGUAUGCACAAAAUGUUACUGACAGGUCUGUAUCCUUAAAGCUGUGUAAAUGCAAACAAAUGUUGUGAGGAGAUUUUAAAGCCAGAAAAAUUGUAUUUCUUAUGAUAAUUCUCCAUUGCUCUCCCUGUCUUCAAGGCAAAAACCCUCUAAAGGAGCACAUGAAAUAGUAUGAAAUAAGCACCUUAAAACAUGAAGUAACUUUGUAAAAAAGAAGAAAAAACAAAUAUGAUAUUCAGCAAUGAUAACAGGCUGCUGACUUAGAACAGUCACAUAUAGAAAAACAUAAAUAACAUGACAUGUUCAUUAUGGUGUGAUAAUUAAAGUCAUAUGCUAAAUUAUUGAUUCUCAAUUGUACAUCAUUUUCAUGAAAUUGUGUGUCUAACUAUAUAUCUAAAUCUUGUUUUUCUUUCCACAGAUUAUCCAAAUUGACGUCAAAAGUGUUCAGAUAUCAGAUGUACUACAGCUAAAGAAUGAAAUUAAUUGUGGUCAUUUCACAGCUUUUGCCUACAGUCAGCUUUUUAUGGUAGGAUAAUAUGCACGUCUUAAGUAUUAAUAGUGUAUACAAAUGUAAAAUAAAUCAAUGUAUACACACCUUUUAUCAAUUAAUAAUUUGUUCAUUCAUUUUCCCAUAUUUUGAUAAAUUACAUUGCACAUAAUCUAAAUAAAUUAUCACAUAUUAAAGUAAACAAUAAGUAUAUCCAAUUGGACAAAUAUAAGUUUCAAGUAGACAAUUAUUCUAUAAUAUUACAAAAGUGGCAGAUGACCUGUAGUUGUUAAUUUCUGUAUCAUUUGGUCUCUUGUAAAGAGUUGUCUCAUAGGCAAAUACAUUUACAAUCUGUUAGGGAGCUGAUUUUACUGAUUCAGACAAUUUAUUUCAUUCUAUCUUGAUUGAUUAUGUAGCACUAAACAAUUGUCACAAGCAAACAUGUAUUUGAAUUUCAAGUUAUUAUUUAAAUAAAUUGAGUCUUUAUUAUUUCAGUGAAUUAAAGAAUGAAGAGAAAUCAACUUAUUAAUACCCAAGCUGACCAACUGUCAAGAAAGAGAAGACAAGGCAACUCCAUCUGAAGGAAAUUAAAAGAAAAGAUUUAAUCAUUACAACAAUAGAUGUGAAAAUGUUAUUUUUUCAAUCUAAAACACACAUAACAAAAAAUACACUUAAGAAAUACUGUUCAAGAUUGAUUCUUAAAAUAUCAGUCUUACU